Molecule: ribosomal RNA, 301 nt
Filed under: uncultured bacterium
Lineage: Bacteria
Description: partial 16S ribosomal RNA
Rfam family: Bacterial small subunit ribosomal RNA
Source: RNAcentral
CAGUAGCCACGGGAAUACGAAGGGGGCUAGCGUUGUUCGGAAUUACUGGGCGUAAAGCGCACGUAGGCGGACAUUUAAGUCAGGGGUGAAAUCCCGGGGCUCAACCCCGGAACUGCCUUUGAUACUGGGUGUCUAGAGUAUGGAAGAGGUGAGUGGAAUUCCGAGUGUAGAGGUGAAAUUCGUAGAUAUUCGGAGGAACACCAGUGGCGAAGGCGGCUCACUGGUCCAUUACUGACGCUGAGGUGCGAAAGCGUGGGGAGCAAACAGGAUUAGAUACCCCCGUAGUCCCUGUCUCUUAUAC